UACGUAGGCGGUUCGGUAAGUCAGGUGUGAAAUCCCGGGGCUCAACCCCGGAACUGCACCCGAUACUGCUGGACUGGAGUAAUGGAGGGGCAGGUGGAAUUCUCGGUGUAGCAGUGAAAUGCGUGGAUAUCGAGAGGAAGACCAAUGGCGAAGGCAGCCUGCUGGACAUUUACUGACGCUGAAGUACGAAGGCCAGGGUAGCGAAAG
Molecule: ribosomal RNA, 207 nt
Filed under: uncultured bacterium
Lineage: Bacteria
Description: partial 16S ribosomal RNA
Rfam family: Bacterial small subunit ribosomal RNA
Source: RNAcentral